GAGUUUGAUCAUGGCUCAGAUUGAACGCUGGCGGCAUGCCUUACACAUGCAAGUCGAACGGCAGCACGGGAGCUUGCUCCUGGUGGCGAGUGGCGAACGGGUGAGUAAUGCAUCGGAACGUAUCCUGGAGUGGGGGAUAACGUAGCGAAAGUUACGCUAAUACCGCAUAUUCUGUGAGCAGGAAAGCGGGGGACCUUCGGGCCUCGCGCUCUUGGAGCGGCCGAUGUCGGAUUAGCUAGUUGGUGAGGUAAAGGCUCACCAAGGCGACGAUCCGUAGCAGGUCUGAGAGGAUGAUCUGCACACUGGAACUGAGACACGGUCCAGACUCCUACGGAGGCAGCAGUGGGAAUUUUGGACAAUGGGGGCAACCCUGAUCCAGCCAUGCCGCGUGAGUG
This 395-nucleotide ribosomal RNA is filed under the name bacterium enrichment culture clone ALO1_GLFRUDD03G2BH5. RNAcentral's name for it is "bacterial SSU rRNA". It matches the Rfam family "Bacterial small subunit ribosomal RNA", at positions 9 to 407 of the family's 1533-position model. The record is from RNAcentral.